AAAAAAUCGCUCUUGAUAUUUCGCUACCGUUCUUGUUGGGAACGGUAGCGGAAAAGAUAUUAAAAAAAUUUUAAAAAGAUAUUAAUAAUACAGAUUAUUAAUUAUUAAAAAAAAAUAGAACAAAAAGAUCAAUCUCUGCCCGCAUUUCCUCGCCAUUUCCUCACCACACCACCAUCCACCUUCUCCGCCUUCCACCGUCGCAGCCGCUGCCGCCGCCAUUGCAUCCUCCGCGACUGCGCCUCCCCCUAGCUGUCGUCCCAGCCACUGCCUCCGCCGCUGCGUCUUCCUCCGCAAAUCUGCCGCUGCAGCCACCACAGCCGCUGACAUCGCGACCGCCACAACCUUCAGUUUUUGACGCCACCGUUUCGAUCUGCACCACCUCGACCAACGCCACCUCCGCCGCGACCAACGCCGCCUCCACCGUGAUGGCCCCGAAGAUAUAGAUCUGGAACCGACAUUACUUUGUGACAGCAGGGAAGUCUUGGUUUGUAGGUGGAUUUGAGGAGUUAACAACCGCUGAUAAUAAGCCAUAUAUAUGGAUUUAAAAGUUUUAAACAGACUUUGGAAAUGCCAAAACUGUUAGGAACAACAACUCAAGGAAAGAGAGAAAUAUAAGCUAGGAAAUCCCAAGUCAUUCCAUUAUCUUAAUCAACCCAACUGUUAUGAGCUUGAUGGAGUGAAUGAUGGCGAAGAAUAACUUGCAACAAGAAGGGCUAUGGAUAUAGUUGGAAUUAGCGAGGAAGGACAGGUUAGGAGGCAAUUUUCAGGGUUGUUGCUGCAAUUCUUCAUCUUGGUAAUAUUGAAUUUGCAAAAGGGCAAGAGAUUGACUCCUCUGUGAUUAAGGAUGAAAAAUCUAGGUUUCAUCUUAAUACCACAGCUGAUUUGCUCAAGUGUGAUGCCAAGAACCUGGAAGGAUGCACUAAUUAAGCGUAUGAUGGUCACACCUGAGGAAGUUAUUACAAGGACUCUUGAUCCUCUACAACAGCAUUUUAAUCAGCAUGUAUUUAAAAUGGAACAAGAAGAGUAUGAAAAAGAAGAGAUAAACUGGAGCUACAUAGAGUUUGUUGAUAACCAAGAUGUGCUGGAUCUCAUUGAGAAGGUUUGGAACCAAGCUUGAUAUACUUUCAUCAAAAAUAGUUAUUAGAAGUAGUGUGUCUCUUGACAAAAUUUACUAGCUUUUUAAAUUAUCUUUUUAAUGCUUUGUUACCUGUUUAAUCUAGCCACUAUAGAAAUCAUAAUUUAUGUUCAAACUUUUCUUAUAUGUUUCAAUUAUCAGCAAUGUUGGCUUGCAAACUGUAUGAGCAAUUGAGACGUGAAGCAGCUGCUGAUUUAUGUUUAAUUUCAGUUGACAA
Ipomoea triloba (trilobed morning glory) is the source of this 1352-nucleotide long non-coding RNA. RefSeq lists it as uncharacterized. NCBI's taxonomy places the organism in Eukaryota, Viridiplantae, Streptophyta, Magnoliopsida, Solanales, Convolvulaceae. The record is from RefSeq and is a predicted model, not a curated record. The transcript is spliced from 6 exons.